Molecule: unclassified non-coding RNA, 296 nt
Filed under: Hevea brasiliensis (rubber tree)
Lineage: Eukaryota; Viridiplantae; Streptophyta; Magnoliopsida; Malpighiales; Euphorbiaceae
Source: RNAcentral
CUCUUGUUCACUUUCUUCCAUAUUGAUCUUCAAACAAAGUUGGAAGCUCCAAAGCCCGUGGUAAUCGGAUAUGCAGCGCUUCCAUUAUCUACACAUGCUCAGUUGAGAUCUGAAAUUUCCUUACCAAUCAUGAGAGAGCUGGUUCCACAUUAUCUCCAGGAUAUUGGCAAGGAGAGGCUGGAGCUGGAUUAUUUGGAAGAUGGGAAGAAUGUCUUUAGAUUGCGCAUGAAACUUUGUUCAUCAUUGUACCCUAUAAAUGAGCGCAUUAGAGAUUUUUUCCUUGAAUAUGAUAGGCA